RNAcentral lists this ribosomal RNA (140 nucleotides) under uncultured bacterium. Its description in RNAcentral is "partial 16S ribosomal RNA". It matches the Rfam family "Bacterial small subunit ribosomal RNA", at positions 355 to 507 of the family's 1533-position model. The record is from RNAcentral.
UAGGGAAUAUUGGGCAAUGGGCGCAAGCCUGACCCAGCGACGCCGCGUGAGGGAUGAAGGUCUUCGGAUUGUAAACCUCUUUCAGUAGGGAAGAAGCGAAAGUGACGGUACCUAAAGAAGAAGCACCGGCUAACUAUGUG